AUUGAACGCUGGCGGCAUGCCUUACACAUGCAAGUCGAACGGCAGCACGGGUGCUUGCACCUGGUGGCGAGUGGCGAACGGGUGAGUAAUACAUCGGAACAUGUCCUGUAGUGGGGGAUAGCCCGGCGAAAGCCGGAUUAAUACCGCAUACGAUCUACGGAUGAAAGCGGGGGCCCUUCGGGCCUCGCGCUAUAGGGUUGGCCGAUGGCUGAUUAGCUAGUUGGUGGGGUAAAGGCCUACCAAGGCGACGAUCAGUAGCUGGUCUGAGAGGACGACCAGCCACACUGGGACUGAGACACGGCCCAGACUCCUACGGGAGGCAGCAGUGGGGAAUUUUGGACAAUGGGCGAAAGCCUGAUCCAGCAAUGCCGCGUGUGUGAAGAAGGCCUUCGGGUUGUAAAGCACUUUUGUCCGGAAAGAAAUCCCUGGCCCUAAUACGGUCGGGGGAUGACGGUACCGGAAGAAUAAGCACCGGCUAACUACGUG
This 486-nucleotide ribosomal RNA is filed under the name uncultured bacterium. RNAcentral's name for it is "partial 16S ribosomal RNA". It matches the Rfam family "Bacterial small subunit ribosomal RNA", at positions 30 to 507 of the family's 1533-position model. The record is from RNAcentral.